Molecule: ribosomal RNA, 427 nt
Filed under: uncultured bacterium
Lineage: Bacteria
Description: bacterial SSU rRNA
Rfam family: Bacterial small subunit ribosomal RNA
Source: RNAcentral
GGGCCCGCACAAGCGGUGGAGCAUGUGGUUUAAUUCGAUGCAACGCGAAGAACCUUACCUGGUCUUGACAUACACAGAAUCUUGUAGAGAUACGAGAGUGCCUUCGGGAAUUGUGAUACAGGUGCUGCAUGGCUGUCGUCAGCUCGUGUCGUGAGAUGUUGGGUUAAGUCCCGCAACGAGCGCAACCCUUGUCCUUAGUUACCAGCGGGUUAAGCCGGGAACUCUAAGGAUACUGCCAGUGACAAACUGGAGGAAGGCGGGGACGACGUCAAGUCAUCAUGGCCCUUACGACCAGGGCUACACACGUGCUACAAUGGUAGGUACAGAGGGCGGCCAACUUGCGAAAGUGAGCGAAUCCCAAAAGUGCGUCGUAGUCCGGAUUGGAGUCUGCAACUCGACUCCAUGAAGUCGGAAUCGCUAGUAAUCG